RNAcentral lists this ribosomal RNA (496 nucleotides) under uncultured bacterium. Its description in RNAcentral is "bacterial SSU rRNA". It matches the Rfam family "Bacterial small subunit ribosomal RNA", at positions 30 to 519 of the family's 1533-position model. The record is from RNAcentral.
AUUGAACGCUGGCGGCAGGCCUAACACAUGCAUGUCGAGCGGUAGAGAGAAGCUUGCUUCUCUUGAGAGCGGCGGACGGGUGAGUAAUGCCUAGGAAUCUGCCUGGUAGUGGGGGAUAACGUUCGGAAACGGACGCUAAUACCGCAUACGUCCUACGGGAGAAAGCAGGGGACCUUCGGGCCUUGCGCUAUCAGAUGAGCCUAGGUCGGAUUAGCUAGUUGGUGAGGUAAUGGCUCACCAAGGCGACGAUCCGUAACUGGUCUGAGAGGAUGAUCAGUCACACUGGAACUGAGACACGGUCCAGACUCCUACGGGAGGCAGCAGUGGGGAAUAUUGGACAAUGGGCGAAAGCCUGAUCCAGCCAUGCCGCGUGUGUGAAGAAGGUCUUCGGAUUGUAAAGCACUUUAAGUUGGGAGGAAGGGCAGUUACCUAAUACGUGAUUGUUUUGACGUUACCGACAGAAUAAGCACCGGCUAACUCUGUGCCAGCCGCCGCC